UACGGGGGGGGUAAGCGUUGUUCGGAAUUACUGGGCGUAAAGGGCUCGUAGGCGGCCAACUAAGUCGGACGUGAAAUCCCUCAGCUUAACUGGGGAACUGCGUCUGAUACUGGAUGGCUUGGAUUUGGGAGAGGGAUGCGGAAUUCCAGGUGUAGCGGUGAAAUGCGUAGAUAUCUGGAGGAACACCGGUGGCGAAGGCGGCAUCCUGGACCAACAUUGACGCUGAGGAGCGAAAGCCAGGGGAGCGAACGGG
Molecule: ribosomal RNA, 253 nt
Filed under: uncultured bacterium
Lineage: Bacteria
Description: partial 16S ribosomal RNA
Rfam family: Bacterial small subunit ribosomal RNA
Source: RNAcentral